Molecule: ribosomal RNA, 463 nt
Filed under: Vreelandella stevensii
Lineage: Bacteria; Pseudomonadati; Pseudomonadota; Gammaproteobacteria; Oceanospirillales; Halomonadaceae
Description: partial 16S ribosomal RNA
Rfam family: Bacterial small subunit ribosomal RNA
Source: RNAcentral
CCUACGGGGUGCAGCAGUGGGGAAUAUUGGACAAUGGGCGAAAGCCUGAUCCAGCCAUGCCGCGUGUGUGAAGAAGGCCUUCGGGUUGUAAAGCACUUUCAGUGGGGAAGAAAGCCUUGGGGCUAAUACCCUCGAGGAAGGACAUCACCCACAGAAGAAGCACCGGCUAACUCCGUGCCAGCAGCCGCGGUAAUACGGAGGGUGCGAGCGUUAAUCGGAAUUACUGGGCGUAAAGCGCGCGUAGGCGGUCUGAUAAGCCGGUUGUGAAAGCCCCGGGCUCAACCUGGGAACGGCAUCCGGAACUGUCAGGCUAGAGUGCAGGAGAGGAAGGUAGAAUUCCCGGUGUAGCGGUGAAAUGCGUAGAGAUCGGGAGGAAUACCAGUGGCGAAGGCGGCCUUCUGGACUGACACUGACGCUGAGGUGCGAAAGCGUGGGUAGCAAACAGGAUUAGAUACCCUAGGUC